Molecule: ribosomal RNA, 465 nt
Filed under: uncultured bacterium
Lineage: Bacteria
Description: partial 16S ribosomal RNA
Rfam family: Bacterial small subunit ribosomal RNA
Source: RNAcentral
CCUACGGGAGGCAGCAGUAGGGAAUCUUCCACAAUGGGCGAAAGCCUGAUGGAGCAACGCCGCGUGGGUGAAGAAGGUCUUCGGAUCGUAAAACCCUGUUGUUAGAGAAGAAAGUGCGUGAGAGUAGCUGUUCACGUUUCGACGGUAUCUAACCAAAAAGCCACGGCUAACUACGGGCCAGCACCCGCGGUUAUACGUAGGUGGCAAGCGUUAUCCGGAUUUAUUGGGCGUAAAGGGAACGCAGGCGGGCUUUUAAGUCUGAUGUGAAAGCCUUCGGGUUAACCGGAGGAGCGCAUUGGAAACUGGGAAACUUGAGUGCAGAAGAGGAGAGUGGAACUCCAUGUGUAGCGGUGAAAUGCGUAGAUAUAUGGAAGAACACCAGUGGCGAAAGCGGCUCUCUGGCCUGUAACUGACGCUGAGGUUCGAAAGCGUGGGUAGCAAACAGGAUUAGAUACCCUAGUAGUC